UGUAUCUGAAGCCUGACGAGGAUGAGAACCUCCGGGGGCAAGAGGUUCGACCCGAGCGAAGCGAGAGAACGUUGCGCCAGCAACGGCCCGCAGGGCGAGUCAUCCUCUAUCACCGGCAG
RNAcentral lists this small RNA (119 nucleotides) under Salmonella enterica. RNAcentral describes it as "RtT sRNA". It matches the Rfam family "RtT RNA". From Rfam's summary of the family: This family represents a bacterial cis-regulatory element known as RtT RNA. The exact function of RtT is unknown although it is thought that it may be involved in changing the cellular response in relation to amino acid starvation. The record is from RNAcentral. RNAcentral also lists the same sequence under 1 other name. Lineage: Bacteria; Pseudomonadati; Pseudomonadota; Gammaproteobacteria; Enterobacterales; Enterobacteriaceae.